Molecule: ribosomal RNA, 684 nt
Filed under: uncultured eukaryote
Lineage: Eukaryota
Description: SSU rRNA
Rfam family: Eukaryotic small subunit ribosomal RNA
Source: RNAcentral
GCGCGCAAAUUACCCAAUCCCGACACGGGGAGGUAGUGACAAUAAAUACUGAUACAGGGCUCUUUUGGGUCUUGUAAUUGGAAUGAGUACAAUUUAAAUCCCUUAACGAGGAACAAUUGGAGGGCAAGUCUGGUGCCAGCAGCCGCGGUAAUUCCAGCUCCAAUAGCGUAUAUUAAAGUUGUUGUGGUUAAAAAGCUCGUAGUUGAACCUUGGGCCUGGCUGGCCGGUCCGCCUCACCGCGUGUACUGGUCCGGCCGGGCCUUUCCCUCUGUGGAACCCCAUGCCCUUCACUGGGUGUGGCGGGGAAACAGGACUUUUACUUUGAAAAAAUUAGAGUGCUCCAGGCAGGCCUAUGCUCGAAUACAUUAGCAUGGAAUAAUAGAAUAGGACGUGUGGUUCUAUUUUGUUGGUUUCUAGGACCGCCGUAAUGAUUAAUAGGGACAGUCGGGGGCAUCAGUAUUCAAUUGUCAGAGGUGAAAUUCUUGGAUUUAUUGAAGACUAACUACUGCGAAAGCAUUUGCCAAGGAUGUUUUCAUUAAUCAGGAACGAAAGUUAGGGGAUCGAAGACGAUCAGAUACCGUCGUAGUCUUAACCAUAAACUAUGCCGACUAGGGAUCGGACGAUGUUAUUUUUUGACUCGUUCGGCACCUUACGAGAAAUCAAAGUGCUUGGGCUCCAGGGGGA